AUGCUGUAGGCAAGAUUGCUGUCCCACAAUUUCUUACACGUAAGUAAUAUUGAAGACUCUUAGACUUCUGUUGCUUGACUUAAAUUAUGUCCUCAGGGUCACCUGAGUCACCACCUUGGCUUAUACUACAGUACAACAUGUAAAAUAUGUGCAGAGAAGUGGUUUAGAUUUUAGCUGUUUGAAAAUGCAUUGUGUUUGAUGAAACCAGGUUUUCCUCAGCACUUAAUCAAAGUAGUUUUCACUGUAUUGUUUCAUAAACAAAACCCCCCAUCACUGAGUGUGAAUAUUUGAAAAACAUACUUUGUUUUCAAAUUUGAUUCAGGCCAAUGGUGCACGUACAGCUUCUCUCUGGUGGUAUGUAGGUUAAACUGAAAUAUUUCCUUCCAGCAGGAAUUUAUCAUCCAGAGACAGUGAAAUUGGAACACGUUCACUGCUGUGGCUGCUUUGUUGCAGUCAGCCUAGAGUAUGGAUGGGAAACAGACGCAGCAAGAACAAGGUCACCGAGCAGUGAUGUUUGACACGUGUUAAAUUAGUCCAAAACUUCCUUAUUUUAAAGAGGUAAGAAGUUCUCGGUUGGAGCGCUGUAUGAACACAUGAGCUGAUUAAGAGAUGGCUUAGGUAUCUUUAGUUCAGUGAAGGAGCCGUGAAGUUGGAAUGGGCCAAAAAGAACCAGCAGGUAAAAUCUUUCAGCACCAAGAGAAAUUUGUAAGGUGGAAAAGCUUCACAAAGAGAGUGAACUGCAGUAAUAUACAAAUAGCAAAUAUGAGAGAGAGUAAAGGAAUGACUUCGUUGGAGAUUGCAACCAUCUGAGCACACUGAAUGAGGCCCUGACUUUGACGGCAACAGGAUAGGAGUAUUUGACCUUGAUGAUAGAGCCCUGUGCCUCUGAAGAGAAAAGAAAAACAACUUUGAGAAAGUUAUCUGAGUGAAGAGACAUAGUCAGUAGAAAAGCAGGGACUUGGCUAACAGAGACUGCACGCAUGAAGGUAACACCUUAACCAAUUAAUGUAUAGCAGGGGUGAGUUAACGAAGGCUAAACCCUAUCAGGAGUUGCCUGGUGGCAACUGCUUACAUUUAUUACUGUAUAAAUAAGGCUCUGUUAAAGCAAUAAAAGUCUUUGGUCUGCAGAUCGCCAGAGUCCGUGCCUUUAAUCUCCACACUUUUCCAUAAAUUUGUUUUGUCAGUUUUUCUCUAAAAUAUGCAUGGAAUGUUUAUGAAAAUUUUCAGAAGGCAAUAUCUUCCAAACGUAUCAUUUAAUGGCAUGGCUAAAGAUCUCUGGCAUCUUUAUUUUGCUUGAUUAAAGAGACAAACUGCAAAGUUGUGUUUGUGCAUCUCUGUGUCUCUUGAUCCGUGGAGUGGCCCCUCAGCAAUAGAAGAAUAGUCUUUGAGCUCAGAUGAGCUGAGCUGAAGUGAACUUGAGAGACCUGUCAGUCACUGAACUGUUAAAAGAACUUAUGUGAUCUGUGGCCACUGUCUGUAGGAAACUGCCUGGAAGCCACUGUGGAAAACCCAGCACCUGAAUUUUUGUUUCUGAUAUCAGCCAAACACAACAGAGAGUUUUAACUAAA
RNAcentral lists this long non-coding RNA (1568 nucleotides) under Strigops habroptila (Kakapo). RNAcentral describes it as "lncRNA (ENSSHBG00005002808.1)". The record is from RNAcentral. Lineage: Eukaryota; Metazoa; Chordata; Aves; Psittaciformes; Psittacidae.